AUGGGCGUCGCAACGGUAAGAAAUUCCCCUGUCCGCCCCCAAUCCAAGACGGAAGCACCGCACCGCAGCCGACCCCGCAUUGAUGCCUACCCCUGCCCCUGCCCGCUCCGGAUCCUUCCAUCCAUCACCAGCUCCACUUUCCUUCUAUUUCCGCCGCCACGCCACGCCACGCGCCCCUCGGCCAAGGACAAGGCUCCGGCCGCCGCCACCGCCUCUGCCCCGGCUAUAAAGCCGCGCCCUUUGGCCGCUCCGCCCCUCCUCCUCCUCUCUUCCUCCGCGCCGCGCCUUCCUCCUCCUCGCCGCGCCCUGCCCGGUCCGCUCCCCCUCCUCCUCUCUUCGUCCGGGCGGUGCCUCUCUCCUCCGACCUCCCCGCCGCGCUCCGGCCGGCCCACUGCUCCUCCUCCGCCCUUCGUCCGGGCCGCGCUCCUCGAGCCGGGUUUCAUCUUGCUCGCCCUCCUCGAUCGAUUUUGCCCGUCUAGAAUCGCGUCUGGAUUUGAUUUUGCUCGUCCUUUUGCCCGUUUAGAGUCGCGUCCGGAUUUGACUUUGCUCGCCGUCGCCGCCCCGCCUGAUUUGAUUUUGCUCGUUCUCGCCGUCAGUCGCUCGCUUCUGAUUUGGUUCUGCUCGUCCACGCCGUCGUCCGUUUACGUUUUUGCUCGUUCUCGCCGUUGCCCCGACGCGCCCGCAUGUUCUUGGUCCGUCUCGUCGAGGGUCUCCGUCUGGUUUGCGAUUCAGAAAUUUCUGCGUGUGCUUCUGUUGUCUGAGAGACGCUUUGGAUCCUGCGUUUCUUCGCGUUCGUGUCGGCGCGAGCGUUGCAGGAACGGUCGGGUCUUGGUUUUGAAAUUGGAUUACGGGCCGGAGAUGGAGAGGCGGAGAGCAAUUUUGUCAGUUUGUCGUGCUAGUUCAGAUCGGUUCCUAGGCUCCUGCGUUGACAAGCUUUCUGUUUGUACCCCCUAUCUAUGUUUGUUUCUCUGUGUGUUUCUUGUGUGCAAGUGCUCCAUUUGUCGUCUCCCCAUAUAUGGGGAUGUGUUGAGGGAUGCAAACCAUGUAGGCCGUUUCGAGCAGGCAGGGAUCCAGAGACACUGUGCAGUCCCAAAAUGCCUAUUUAGCCAUGGUUUCCUUGUUCACUUCACAAGUAUUCAUGUUGAUACUCACCUCUACAGUCAUACAAACUGGCAUGCCAAGGACUGCUCAGGGUUCCUAUCGCUUUCUGUUUUACCAACUAAGACUCUGAAAUUUGGUGAUAAAGAAAAGAAUCCAGGGUGGAUGGAGGUUUUCAUGAUGGCUCUGAUGGUGUGCUUCUUGUGUUUGAACCGAAGUCGUGGAUCGCUCAUCAACCUGGUCUGUGUUUGUAUGCUGAAUUAUUUCCGGAUAGGACAGAAGUGCAAUGUUUACAUCCAUGGCAGAAGGUUCUUUAACACUGAACUCAUCAAAGGUCCUUGGACUCAAGAGGAAGAUGACAAAAUUAUUGACCUUAUAAACAAGUAUGGACUAACAAAAUGGUCGCAUUGCAAGGUAAACACACUGGUAACAAUUCUCUGUCGAUGCAUUGCAGGUCAGCUACCAGAACUUCCUGCUGCUGAUCCUGGGAUGUUUCCGAACAUGCUCCCGAACACGUUCAAUUUAUCCGCUCUAGGACAGGUUACUCGGCAUUCUCGGCGUGUUUACUUUGGUGGACUUCCUCCGAUCGCUAAUGAACAGUCCGUGCUAACUAUUUUGUUCUUCUUUCUGCAGACGGUUGCUCUAUUCUUCAAUCAAGUUGUGGCUGCUAUCGGGGGAAACACAUUUGGUCUAGGUGAUGCAGUUGUUAAUAUGAAGCUGAUUUUUGAAUUCAUUCAAAACAUCAUAGUUGUUAAUAUGAAGCUGAUUUUUGAAUUUAUUCAAAACAUCUUAGGUGGCAUAAUCAUCUGA
This 1908-nucleotide ribosomal RNA is filed under the name Triticum aestivum (bread wheat). RNAcentral's name for it is "partial small subunit ribosomal RNA". The record is from RNAcentral. Lineage: Eukaryota; Viridiplantae; Streptophyta; Magnoliopsida; Poales; Poaceae.